Molecule: ribosomal RNA, 423 nt
Filed under: Laparocerus schaumii
Lineage: Eukaryota; Metazoa; Arthropoda; Insecta; Coleoptera; Curculionidae
Description: partial 16S ribosomal RNA
Source: RNAcentral
GGUAAUUUGACCGUGCAAAGGUAGCAUAAUCAUUAGUUUUUUAAUUGAAAGCUGGAAUGAAAGGUUGGAUGAGAAAAAAGCUGUCUCUAUUUAAUUUAUUUAGAAUUUUAUUUUUAAGUUAAAAAGCUUAAAUUUAAAUAGAAGACGAGAAGACCCUAUAGAGUUUUAUUAAUUUUUUUUUAUAAAAAUAAUAGUAUUUUUUAUUUUUGUGUAAGAUAUUAAUUUAGUUGGGGUGAUUGAAAAAUUUAAUUAACUUUUUUUUUAUAAAUACAUUUAUAUAUGAUUAUUUGAUCCUUAAUUUAAGAUUAAAAGAUAAAAUUACCUUAGGGAUAACAGCGUAAUUUUUUUUGAGAGUUCUAAUCGAAAGAAAAGAUUGCGACCUCGAUGUUGGAUUAAAAUAAAAUUUUGGUGUAGAAGCUAAAG